This 433-nucleotide ribosomal RNA is filed under the name uncultured bacterium. Its description in RNAcentral is "partial 16S ribosomal RNA". It matches the Rfam family "Bacterial small subunit ribosomal RNA", at positions 29 to 507 of the family's 1533-position model. The record is from RNAcentral.
AACGAACGCUGGCGGCAUGCCUAACACAUGCAAGUCGAACGAGACCUUCGGGUCUAGUGGCGCACGGGUGCGUAACGCGUGGGAACCUGCCCUUAGGUUCGGAAUAACUCCCCGAAAGGGGUGCUAAUACCGGAUAAUGUCUUCGGACCAAAGAUUUAUCGCCUUUGGAUGGGCCCGCGUUGGAUUAGCCAGUUGGUAGGGUAAAAGCCUACCAAGGCGACGAUCCAUAGCUGGUCUGAGAGGAUGAUCAGCCACACUGGGACUGAGACACGGCCCAGACUCCUACGGGAGGCAGCAGUGGGGAAUAUUGGACAAUGGGCGAAAGCCUGAUCCCGCAAUGCCGCGUGAGUGAUGAAGGCCUUAGGGUUGUAAAGCUCUUUUACCCGGGAUGAUAAUGACAGUACCGGGAGAAUAAGCUCCGGCUAACUCCGUG